Long non-coding RNA from Ostrea edulis (European flat oyster), 222 nucleotides. RefSeq lists it as uncharacterized. The transcript is spliced from 3 exons. NCBI's taxonomy places the organism in Eukaryota, Metazoa, Mollusca, Bivalvia, Ostreida, Ostreidae. The record is from RefSeq and is a predicted model, not a curated record.
CGAAAAUGUCAAUUCCAGACUUUGACGACGAUAUAUUUACGUCAGUAAUUCGAAAGGAUUCAUCUAGGAUAUCUUCUCAUGGCUCUUACCCGACAAAAAUAGAAGAAGAGCAAUGGAGAAAAAAGAAGAAAUCGUCUAAAUCUAAUGCUGAUAUGAUCGGCUGGAAGCAUCCAGAGCACUUGAUUUCUCCGAAAGGCUCUUACCCGACAAAAAUAGAAGAGC